This 497-nucleotide ribosomal RNA is filed under the name uncultured bacterium. RNAcentral describes it as "partial 16S ribosomal RNA". It matches the Rfam family "Bacterial small subunit ribosomal RNA", at positions 28 to 507 of the family's 1533-position model. The record is from RNAcentral.
GACGAACGCUGGCGGCGUGCCUAAUACAUGCAAGUUGAGCGCUUAAGGUUGGUACUUGUACCAACUGGAUGAGCAGCGAACGGGUGAGUAACGCGUGGGGAAUCUGCCUUUGAGCGGGGGACAACAUUUGGAAACGAAUUCUAAUACCGCAUAAAAACUUUAAACACAAGUUUUAAGUUUGAAAGAUGCAAUUGCAUCACUCAAAGAUGAUCCCGCGUUGUAUUAGCUAGUUGGUGAGGUAAAGGCUCACCAAGGCGAUGAUACAUAGCCGACCUGGUAGGGUGAUCGGCAAAAUUGGGACUGAGAAAAGGCCCAAAAUGAUAAGGGAGGCAGCAGUAGGGAAACUUAGGAAAUGGACGAAAGUCUGAACGAGAAAAGCCGCGUGAGUGAAGAAGGUUUUCGGAUCGUAAAAAUCUGUUGGUAGAGAAGAAAGUUGGGGAGAGUGGAAAGCUCAUAAAGUGACGGUAACUAACCAGAAAGGGACGGCUAACUACGUG